This is a small nucleolar RNA of Delphinapterus leucas (beluga whale), 135 nucleotides long. Ensembl annotates it as small nucleolar RNA SNORA1. NCBI's taxonomy places the organism in Eukaryota, Metazoa, Chordata, Mammalia, Artiodactyla, Monodontidae. The record is from Ensembl.
AGCUUCAUUCUAGAUGCAAAUGGGAACUGUUGUGCAUGGUGUCCAGGUAUUACUGAUGUGGCCACACUGAGACAUAGGAUUUGUUUCCAUCACAGUAAGUUUAUUGCAGUGGUGACAAGGAGACCUGUAACAUGU